This is a long non-coding RNA of Oncorhynchus tshawytscha (Chinook salmon), 2374 nucleotides long. The record is from Ensembl. Lineage: Eukaryota; Metazoa; Chordata; Actinopteri; Salmoniformes; Salmonidae.
GCUGGAACACUCAGCUCCUGCUCAGCUGCAGCACCACCGACCCCUGCUGGAACACUCAGCUCUUGCUCCUGCUGGAACACUCAGCUCCUGCUCCACUGCAGCACCACCGACCCCUGCUGGAACACUCAGCUCCUGCUCAGCUGCAGCACCACCGACCCCUGCUGGAACACUCAGCUCCUGCUCCGCUGCAGCACCACCGACCCCUGCUGGAACACUCAGCCCCUGCGCCACUGCAGCACCACCGACCCCUGCUGGAACACUCAGCUCCUGCUCCACUGCAGCACCACCGACCCCUGCUGGAACACUCAGCUCCUGCUCAGCUGCAGCACCACCGACCCCUGCUGGAACACUCAGCUCCUGCUCAGCUGCAGCACCACUGACCCCUGCUGGAACACUCAGCUCCUGCUGGAAAACUCAGCUCCUGCUCCACUGCAGCAGCACCGACCCCUGCUGGAACACUCAGCGACUAAAAACAAUAGAAAAUGUCACAAUUGUUUGUGUAAAUAAAUGUUUAAACACAACUUGAAUGCAUUUGGUUUACUCUUUUCAAACAAGAGAAUAUACUAAUUACAUACCUGGAUCAUCCGGAGCGUCUUGCAUGUCCGUUUACCCCUCCACCUCCGUCACUACUCCACUCAGGAGGAAAGUCGCUCAUCAAGGGGUUGAGCUCCCGUCUCCCCUUCCCCCGCCCAGUGGCAAACACUUUGUCUGUGUAAGGCUAUGCGCCUUUUGACCUCCACUUUUAUGUCGGACCACUUUUUUUUUAUUUCUGAGAGGGUCCGACCUGAGCCAGCAGCAUUCACAGCGUCCGCCACAUAGUGCCACUCUAACGCCUUUCUGUCACACUGUCCACCAAACAAUAUAUUUUUUUCAUGCUUCAACCUCCCAGUAAGAACUUCCAUUUCACACUAGGAUGAAAUGUCUUUUUUUUAGACUUUCUGUCAGGAUUUGCCGUCAUUGUCGUCAUGCAGUCAGUAUGGAUGAAUAUUAAUUAGGAGCGUUUCACUGACUAUUUAUAGGCAUCUAUGGGCGUUAAAAGGGUGGGACAAGACGCUCGCUCACGUGCGCCACAAAUCGAGAUGAUUGUGAUUUAUAAAGGGAAACCGACGUGUAUUGCCACUGUGUUAUAAAUUCGAAUAUUUUUGUGCGUAAGCACUUUCUGCGUUUCGUCCAUAUCCCACCUUUUGACGUGAAUCCUCUGCUCAGUUUUAUAAAUGAGACCCCAGCAGUGCAGGUGAAUUUUGCGCAUAUCGAUGGUUUAACGAGAAAUCCGCUUUCGAUAAUCUAGUAUCAUCGAUGGUUGCAAUAAGCCCCUUGUUAAUUGAUUACAUUCCGAUAAGGCUGCAUUCUGUAGGCUACCCGUUAGCCUAUCAAUUGUCACAUAAUGAAAGGUGUGAAACCCCAUAAUAGGCUACAGGUUUGUAUUUCUGAGUUGAUUAGGCCGACUGUGUGGAUGCUUGCCCACGUUUUAUAGUUAGGCUAUGUAUAAUUUGCAGAAGUGGGUAGUUACUGCAAAUAAGUACUUAAGUAAAAGUGCUGUUACUAGAUUGUCAUUUACUCCAGUAAAAGUAUCCCUCCUAAGAAACAACUCAAGUAAGAGUACAACGUAUCCGGUCAGAAAACUUCUUAAGAACUAGUUUUCAAAUUUUGUUAGGUCAUUUUUACAUCUCAUGGUAAACUGAAACAGCAAAACAAAAAAGGACAACAAUUUACUGUAAAUGAUUUGAUAAUAAUGUAUUAAGCCUGCCAGCAACAUCUAUCAGAUGUCUUCCAGCACAGGUAGUCUGUUGUUGAUGUGUGCAGAGGGUCGCUGGUUCACACCCGGGUAUGGGCGAGGGGACGGUCUGAAGUUACACUGUUACACCAGGACCAUCUUGUCCUCCGGCACAGGUAGUCUGCAACUUCGUGGGUGACUGUUGUUGAUGUGUGCAGAGGGUUGCUGGUUCACGCCCGGGUAUGGGUGAGGGGAUGGUCUGGUUACACUGUUACACCAGCACCAUCUUGUCCUCCGGCACAGGUAGUCUGCAACAAAGACUGAAAUCAAACAAGGUCUGCACACUGUACUGUUUCAAUUACAGCCAAAGGUGACUUAAUAUCUAUUAAAGUGCUUGUUACGGAUACAGUUAUCCUGUGUGUUUCUUUUCUCUCCUUCUCCCCUCACAGGUGAACAUCAUCACUCCCCAAUCAGUCAACAAUCAAUCAUCAAUCAGAAGACACACCUCCUCCUGUUUCCUACCCUAUCACAGUUCCUUCCCCAUGGUUUAAAAACCCCAUCAUUUGUUUGCUCUGGAGCUCAAUCUCUCUGUAAAUGCCAUGUCUGUAGGUCUCUGUGGUUCACUCUCGCUUUGUGUCUUAACCCCUCUUUUGUUUGAGC